AAACCGCAACCUGAUCUUAAAAGC
RNAcentral lists this non-coding RNA (24 nucleotides) under Arabidopsis thaliana (thale cress). The record is from RNAcentral. Lineage: Eukaryota; Viridiplantae; Streptophyta; Magnoliopsida; Brassicales; Brassicaceae.